AACGAACGCUGGCGGCAGGCUUAACACACGCAAGUCGAGCGGGGUGAUGGUGCUUGCACUAUCACUUAGCGGCGGACGGGUGAGUAAUGCUUAGGAAUCUGCCUAUUAGUGGGGGACAACAUCUCGAAAGGGAUGCUAAUACCGCAUACGUCCUACGGGAGAAAGCAGGGGAUCACUUGUGACCUUGCGCUAAUAGAUGAGCCUAAGUCGGAUUAGCUAGUUGGUGGGGUAAAGGCCUACCAAGGCGACGAUCUGUAGCGGGUCUGAGAGGAUGAUCCGCCACACUGGGACUGAGACACGGCCCAGACUCCUACGGGAGGCAGCGGUGGGGAAUAUUGGACAAUGGGGGGAACCCUGAUCCAGCCAUGCCGCGUGUGUGAAGAAGGCCUUAUGGUUGUAAAGCACUUUAAGCGAGGAGGAGGCUCUUUUGGUUAAUACCCAAGAUGAGUGGACGUUACUCGCAGAAUAAGCACCGGCUAACUCUGUGCCAGCAGCCGCCGUAA
Molecule: ribosomal RNA, 503 nt
Filed under: uncultured bacterium
Lineage: Bacteria
Description: partial 16S ribosomal RNA
Rfam family: Bacterial small subunit ribosomal RNA
Source: RNAcentral